Long non-coding RNA from Armigeres subalbatus, 1412 nucleotides. RefSeq lists it as uncharacterized. The transcript is spliced from 4 exons. The record is from RefSeq and is a predicted model, not a curated record. Lineage: Eukaryota; Metazoa; Arthropoda; Insecta; Diptera; Culicidae.
UUUUACGAGCGCUGGCUUACCCCUCUCGACGUUUUGACAGUUUGUUUGUUUUUCUCCCUCACCUUCCCUCUCAGCGUCGCCGUCGAUGAAUCGAUGAUGACUUUCCGAUUCGGUCGUGAAAGAAUUUUGGUGGGCCAGUCCGUUUGUUUCGUGAAAUGCGUUGGGCAGUGAAAAAAAUUCGCGAAGGUAUGGAAACAUCGAAAACCGACCAGCCAAUACUCCGGACGGUGAAAUUCGCGAAUUCAGAUGUGCAUGUGAUGGAUAAAAAUUCAGCCGUAUGACCAAUGGCUCCAAACUGGCAUAUCAAUAAUAUGCGCCUUGCGAAACUUGUCGCAGUACACGGUUCCAGAUGGUUCCAGUGCAGACGGUGGACCGCUACCAAACAAUUCAAACAACAACAAUGUCGUCGGCGUGCGUACAGCCGCUUUCACUGAUUCCUGCGAUCGACGACUCCUGGACGGGCUCGAAGGGUGAAUUCGAAAGCAAAGUUGUAAAUAUAGAGUCUAACUGAUGAGUAAAACGCAGCCGGUGCGACCAAGGUGCUCUGUGCUGUAGAAAUGUAUACCUACGUGCCCAAACUUGCGCAUGGCUUAGCUGAUUCAAAUGAAUCGAAAUAAUUCUUUUUAGUUUUGUGUGGCGAGCUUUUGGACAUUUCCUUCGGAAAAAGAUUAUAACCGUGCGAUCGAGGGCUGCCAUAGUUCAACACCAAUUUUUCUUCGAAACACAAUCUGCUCUUCGAUGACAUGCAACAGUGCCGAGCUGCUUAUUUGUUAUCAGGCAGAGAGGACGGAGGAAGCUUUCUCGAACCAUUUAUACGUAUCCGGAAAAUGACGUUUUUUGGAGUUCAAAACAACUAGCAACUGUGAUUGAUUGCAAUCAAAUGCACCGGAACCGUUUCCACUGAGAAAAACUACGAUGGAGCAGUUUUUCUGAGCUUUCCUACUCAUGAAGAUUAAGAAGGUAAUGGUAUCAUCAACAUCAACAAUAAGCGUACCCGUUUUUAAAUCUACAGGGUAUCAUUUUUUUCUUAUCCUUGAAAGAUUGUUUAAUAAUCCCAGAAGGAUUCGGGAUCUUCAAAGGACUUAGAGGCCACUCACCUUUCGCCCUGCUAUUUCACCGGAUGGAAAAUUCAUGUUCAAGAUGACACGCUGCCCCUGGAUGAUAUUACCAUUACACAUGAGAGCUGCGGAUGGACCGAUCAGGACAACGAAAUAUAGGCGCACUCAGCUUACCGCGAUUCUACCACUGUAAAUAAUGGUAACCGACUGUAAAAUUAACCAUUCAAUAAUCUUCUGAAUUUCACCAUGCCGCUGUAUAGAGAAAAUACGUUGUGGACAUAAAAUUAAUGUACUUCAUACAAAAUGCAUGCAAUAAAAAAUAGAUAAUUAGAAGACAAAAAACAUUAUUAUAAU